Vidua chalybeata is the source of this 468-nucleotide long non-coding RNA. RefSeq lists it as uncharacterized. The record is from RefSeq and is a predicted model, not a curated record. Lineage: Eukaryota; Metazoa; Chordata; Aves; Passeriformes; Viduidae. The transcript is spliced from 3 exons.
ACAACGGAACGCCGCAAGUGCUCAACAUGCCACUCUUAAAGAGCACCAGCAUUAUUAGUAAAUACACUGUAUUUUAUUACAGAAUUUUCCGUUACCCUUAUUAGGUGGUUGUUACUAGAAGUACUGCAUCCCUAGUGAAGCAGCUUCCAAGCAAACAAAAAAACACCCCAAGAACACUGUGCCAGGGUUUUUUUAAAGAAAAUUGUAAAUUUUCUUAUAUGAAACCUCUAGGGUUUCCACAAAACAAUGAAAAUCUCAUUAUGCAAGUCUUACUGAACUUCUAGGAGAUACCUCAUGUGAUUACUGAUGACAGGAAGAAUUCACCUUUUCUAAAAGAGUUGAACCAAGUCCUGAAUACCUGCAGUAAUUUACAGUAUGUAAGAGCUGGCAGUAUCAAACAGUGAUGGAGCACCAUGACAGCAACAGCAGCUCAACAUUUUACUAUAGUGAGUUUCCCAAGAGAAGAGA